This is a non-coding RNA of Verrucomicrobia bacterium 13_2_20CM_2_54_15_9cls, 72 nucleotides long. The record is from Rfam. Lineage: Bacteria; Pseudomonadati; Verrucomicrobiota.
GCGCGAUUAGCUCAGUGGUAGAGCGCUUGCUUCACACGCAAGAAGUCGCAGGUUCGAACCCUGCAUCGCGCA